Molecule: ribosomal RNA, 197 nt
Filed under: uncultured bacterium
Lineage: Bacteria
Description: partial 16S ribosomal RNA
Rfam family: Bacterial small subunit ribosomal RNA
Source: RNAcentral
ACGCUCGACACCUACGAGGCAGCAGUCGGGAAUAUUGCGCAAUGGAGGAAACUCUGACGCAGUGACGCCGCGUAUAGGAAGAAGGUUUUCGGAUUGUAAACUAUUGUCGUUAGGGAAGAUACAAGACAGUACCUAAGGAGGAAGCACCGGCUAACUAUGUGCCAGCAGCCGCGGUAAUCUGAGCGGGCUGGCAAGGC